RNAcentral lists this ribosomal RNA (253 nucleotides) under uncultured bacterium. RNAcentral describes it as "partial 16S ribosomal RNA". It matches the Rfam family "Bacterial small subunit ribosomal RNA", at positions 524 to 776 of the family's 1533-position model. The record is from RNAcentral.
UACGAAGGCCCCGAGCGUUAUCCGGAUUUAUUGGGCGUAAAGGGUGCGUAGGCGGUUUAUCGCAUCUCCUGUUAAAUCACGAGGCUCAACUUCGUGGCCGCAGGAGAGAUGGGUAAACUAGAGGCCGGAAAAGGUACGCGGAAUUGCUGGUGUAGGGGUUAAAUCCGUUAAUAUCAGCAGGAACACCAAAUGCGAAGGCAGCGUACUGGUACGGUCCUGACGCUCAGGCACGAAAGCGUGGGGAGCAAAUGGG